Coccinella septempunctata (seven-spotted ladybird) is the source of this 1416-nucleotide RNA transcript. It is a transcript of the gene named GDP-L-fucose synthase, with no coding region annotated. The record is from RefSeq and is a predicted model, not a curated record. The transcript is spliced from 8 exons. NCBI's taxonomy places the organism in Eukaryota, Metazoa, Arthropoda, Insecta, Coleoptera, Coccinellidae.
GGGUUAUGUUUCCAUUACGUUAAUUUUUUCGUAAAUAAGAAAUUUCUUAUUUCUCGAUUUAUCACGCAAUAUCACAUUAUUGCUACAUUUCUAUACACAGUCAGGAUCAAUAAAUAAUAUUCGUGAGAACCUCAAUACAAUGGAUGAAUCGAAAACAAUCUUGGUAACAGGUGGUACUGGUUUAGUUGGAGAAGCUAUAAAACAACUAGUUACUUCUCAAAAAAGGACUAACGAAAAAUGGGUAUUCGUUAGUAGUAAAGAUGCAAAUUUGUGUGAUCUUGAUCAAACGAGAGAACUGUUCAAGAAACACAAACCUACUCAUGUUAUACAUUUAGCAGCCAAAGUUGGUGGUCUCUUCGAUAACAUGUCGAACAAUUUGGACUUUCUAAAAGACAAUCUUCAUAUUAACGACAAUGUACUUCAAGCUAGUUAUGAGAAUGGAGUGAAAAAGGUUGUGUCGUGUCUUUCUACCUGUAUUUUUCCUGAUAAAACUAGUUAUCCCAUCGAUGAAACAAUGGUGCAUAAUGGUCCCCCCCAUAACUCCAACUUUGGCUAUAGUCAUGCUAAAAGAAUGGUUGAUGUGAUGAAUAAGGCUUAUCAUGAAAAAUACGGAUGCCAGUUUACUUCAGUCAUUCCUUGCAAUGUUUUUGGACCACAUGACAAUUAUAACUUGAAGUCUGGACACGUUAUUCCUGCUUUAAUAAGGAAAUUUUUCGACGUUAUUCAGACAGGUGGCACCCAAUUUACGGUUUAUGGCUCAGGAAAGCCUCUUAGACAGUUCAUUUACUCGAAGGAUUUGGCUAAAUUGUUUGUAUGGGUGUUGUUUGAGUAUAACGAAAUUGAGCCGAUAAUCCUUGCAGUGGAUGAAUCGGACGAAGUUACCAUUAAACAAGUGGCAGAAGAAAUCCUCAAAGCUUAUAAUUACAAGGGAGAGCUAAUAUUUGAUACAUCGAAAGCUGACGGACAAUAUAAGAAAACUGCUAGUAACUCUAAACUGAGGAAGUAUUUACCCGAUUUCGAGUUCACUUCAUUUGACAGUGCUGUAAAGGACAGUGUUGAAUGGUACCAGAAGAAUCAUGCUACAGCGAGAAACUGAAUAUAUAACGAGGGUUCUAGAGACUGUAGUAUUGAGUUAAAGGAAGAAUGAGAAUCCUCAGAAGAACGAAUAUGGUUGAAUAGUGAUUUCAACGACUUGCGACUCUGUAUUGUUGAGCAUAGAUUAAAGGUGCCAAUCACGUUGAUGGAAAUUCGCUAGUGCUGCCCAAUUACGAAGAAAGAAACUGCCCACAAGAAGUCAGAAGUCAUUCAGUUAUAUAACCCUCCCUUCUAUUUUUGAUUUAAACAUGUAUAUUCAUUGAUAUUUAUGUGAAAAAUUCAUUUACACUACUAUUUUUCCACUUAUUCUAUGACAAAAAC